RNAcentral lists this ribosomal RNA (260 nucleotides) under uncultured bacterium. RNAcentral's name for it is "partial 16S ribosomal RNA". It matches the Rfam family "Bacterial small subunit ribosomal RNA", at positions 524 to 782 of the family's 1533-position model. The record is from RNAcentral.
GACAGAGGGGGCAAGCGUUGUCCGGAGUUACUGGGCGUAAAGCGCACGCAGGCGGCACGGCAAGUGUGGUGUGAAACCCGCCGGCUUAACCGGUGGACGCCAUCGCAGACUGCCGCGCUCGAGCCGUUCAGAGGUCCCUCGAAUUGCCGGUGUAGUGGUGAAAUGCGUAGAUAUCGGGAGGAACACCAGUGGCGAAGGCGGACGACCUGGCUGUCUUGACGCUGCGUGAGGCGAACUGAAGGGAGCCAAGCUGGGGGAAG